This 683-nucleotide long non-coding RNA is filed under the name Citrus x clementina. RNAcentral describes it as "Citrus clementina (C. clementina) long non-coding RNA (CCLE_LNC004749)". Lineage: Eukaryota; Viridiplantae; Streptophyta; Magnoliopsida; Sapindales; Rutaceae. The record is from RNAcentral.
GCCACAAAAACGGGUGGGCUAUAGACUUGGGGGGUGGGGCUGGCCAACUUCGUCCGCCGGACUCGGAAUGCCGCGAGACUUUGCGAGGGUCCUCUGUGUGCCAAAAAUAGGCCGCGGGCAAAGCCGCACCCAAAACUAACCGCCCGAAGGCCGGGGCACCAAGUUCGUCCAGCGGAAAAUGGCCACAAAAACGGGUGGACUAUAGCCUUGGGGGGUGCGGCUGGCCAACUUCGUCCGCCGGACUCGGAGUGCCGCGAGACUUUGCGAGGGGCCUCCGUGUGGCAAAAAUAGGCCGCGGGUAAAGCCGCGCCCAAAAAUAACCGCCCGAAGGCCGGGGCGCCAAGUUCGACCAGCGGAAAAAGGCCACAAAAAAGGGUGGGCUAUUGCCUUGGGGGGUGGGGCCGGCCCACGUCGUCCGCCGGACUCGGAAUGGCGCGACACUUUCCGAGGCGCCUCCGUGUGCCAAAAAUAGGCCGCGGGCAGAGCUGCGCCCAAAAAUAACCGACCGAAGGCCGGGGCGCCAAGUUCGUCCAGCGGAAAAAGGCCAGAAAAACGGGUGGGCUAUAGCCUUGGGGGGUGCGGCUGGCCAACUUCGUCCGCCGGACUCGGAAUGGCGCGAGACAUUGCGAGCGGCCUCCGUGCACCAAGAAUAGGCCGCGGGCACAGACGCGCCCAAAAAUAAC